UAUACCUACGGGGGGCAGCAGUAGGGAAUCUUCGGCAAUGGGGGCAACCCUGACCGAGCAACGCCGCGUGAGUGAAGAAGGUUUUCGGAUUGUAAAGCUCUGUUGUAAGUCAAGAACGGGUGUGAGGGUGGAAAGUUCACACUAUGACGGUAGCUUACCAGAAAGGGACGGCUAGCUACGUGCCAGCAGCCGCGGUAAUACGUAGGUCCCGAGCGUUGUCCGGAUUUAUUGGGCGUAAAGCGAGCGCAGGCGGUUUGAUAAGUCUGAAGUUAAGGGCUGUGGCUCAACCAUAGUU
Molecule: ribosomal RNA, 295 nt
Filed under: uncultured bacterium
Lineage: Bacteria
Description: partial 16S ribosomal RNA
Rfam family: Bacterial small subunit ribosomal RNA
Source: RNAcentral